Long non-coding RNA from Zalophus californianus (California sea lion), 1120 nucleotides. RefSeq lists it as uncharacterized. NCBI's taxonomy places the organism in Eukaryota, Metazoa, Chordata, Mammalia, Carnivora, Otariidae. The record is from RefSeq and is a predicted model, not a curated record. The transcript has 3 exons.
AGGAGGAGCGAGGGUGGGAAUAGGGGGAUAUUCGGAGAGAUCCAGGCUGGGAAGUGAAAAUUAGAAAAAGGGGGUCACAGGAGGCGGAGACCAAAGCAGUAAUAGGAACCGGCAGAGACGGUAACCGAGACCUUUCCUCCGACCGAGUGCCUCCCCCAAAACUCCGGGCCUUGACAAGCCUGAGUGCGGGGCCAGGGUCGGGGAGGGGGAGUUUGGGAGAGACAAGCCCAGUCAGGGAUAUCCCUCAAGCCUGAGCUACGGGUCCCGGAGGUGGCUCCGGCCAGGCAUGGGGCGCUGGAGGGUCCUGGGAUCCCCCGGAGGGCCCCGCUCCAGCUCUGGCUCCCGGAGUCUCCUUCACUCACCAUCGCAGCCGCCAUCUUGGAUCCACGUGUCGCCGUAAUGACGUCAGCGGAAGUGGUGUUUCCCUGGUUACGGAGUUUAACUCCGCUGGGUGCUCCCUGGCUUCAAACUCUCCUGUAGUCGUGGUCAGCGGAGAGAAAGGGAACCUUGGACGGCUCCGAGAAGCGGAGGCUGGAUCGAAGUCACUCGGUGGCCAGAGCUCCCCUCCCUAAGAGCUUCACCAGCUCAGAUGACUUUGAAAAUUGAGGGGGCGGGAUGCCUGGCUGGAGGGCAACUGGAGGCCCCACAUGAAUGAGAUGUGCCCAGGACCAGUCAAGGACAGAGCACAUCUCCUGGAAAAAGAGAGGUAUUGUCGCACUGAAUUCUGCCAAGUACACUUCCAAGAUGUGUAAGAAUCUUACAGCGUUUCUGUAUUCCCACUGCUACCAGCCACUUCAGGCUACCAUCAUCUCUUCACUCAUUCAUUCAUUCAGCAAUACUAUGCUGAGUGCGGGGGCUACACAGGGCUUCUCAACUUCAGUACUAUUGACAUUUGAGCUGCAUAAUUCUUUGUUGUGGGGGGUUGUCCUGGGCAACGUAGGAUGAUGAACAACAUUCCUGGACUCCACCUACUAAAUGCCGGUAGCAACCUCCUUCUCCACUUGUGACAACCAAAAAUGUCUCCAAACAUAACUAAAUUUGUGUGGGGGGAGGGGGACGGGCAGAACCAUGAAUUAAAAGAUAAUGACCCUGCUCUUAUGUGUUUGGUAUCUGUGCUGAA